AGGUAAGCUACUAAGAGCGAAUGGUGGAUGCCUUGACUGGUAAAGGCGAUGAAGGACGUACUAGACUGCGAUAAGCUACGGGGAGCUGUCAAGAAGCUUUGAUCCGUAGAUUUCCGAAUGGGGCAACCCAAUGUAUAGAGAUAUACAUUACCUAUAUAGGAGCGAACGAGGGGAAUUGAAACAUCUUAGUACCCUCAGGAAAAGAAAUCAAUAGAGAUUGCGUCAGUAGCGGCGAGCGAAAGUGCAAGAGGGCAAACCCAGUGCUUGCACUGGGGGUUGUAGGACUGCAAUGUGCAAGAGCUGAGUUUAGCAGAACAUUCUGGAAAGUAUAGCCAUAGAGGGUGAUAGUCCCGUAUGCGAAAAACAAAGCUUAGCUAGCAGUAUCCUGAGUAGGGCGGGACACGAGGAAUCCUGUCUGAAUCCGGGUCGACCACGAUCCAACCCUAAAUACUAAUACCAGAUCGAUAGUGCACAAGUACCGUGAGGGAAAGGUGAAAAGAACUGAGGUGAUCAGAGUGAAAUAGAACCUGAAACCAUUUGCUUACAAUCAUUCAGAGCACUAUGUAGCAAUACAGUGUGAUGGACUGCCUUUUGCAUAAUGAGCCUGCGAGUUGUGGUGUCUGGCAAGGUUAAGCAAACGCGAAGCCGUAGCGAAAGCGAGUCUGAAUAGGGCGCUUAGUCAGAUGCUGCAGACCCGAAACGAAGUGAUCUAUCCAUGAGCAAGUUGAAGCUAGUGUAAGAACUAGUGGAGGACUGAACCCAUAGGCGUUGAAAAGCCCCGGGAUGACUUGUGGAUAGGGGUGAAAGGCCAAUCAAACUUCGUGAUAGCUGGUUCUCUCCGAAAUAUAUUUAGGUAUAGCGUUGUGUCGUAAUAUAAGGGGGUAGAGCACUGAAUGGGCUAGGGCAUACACCAAUGUACCAAACCCUAUCAAACUCCGAAUACCUUAUAUGUAAUCACAGCAGUCAGGCGGCGAGUGAUAAAAUCCGUCGUCAAGAGGGAAACAACCCAGACUACCAGCUAAGGUCCCUAAAUCUUACUUAAGUGGAAAACGAUGUGAAGUUACUUAAACAACCAGGAGGUUGGCUUAGAAGCAGCCAUCCUUUAAAGAAAGCGUAAUAGCUCACUGGUCUAGUGAUUUUGCGCGGAAAAUAUAACGGGGCUAAAGUAAGUACCGAAGCUGUAGACUUAGUUUACUAAGUGGUAGGAGAGCGUUCUAUUUGCGUCGAAGGUAUACCGGUAAGGAGUGCUGGAGCGAAUAGAAGUGAGCAUGCAGGCAUGAGUAGCGAUAAUUAAUGUGAGAAUCAUUAACGCCGUAAACCCAAGGUUUCCUACGCGAUGCUCGUCAUCGUAGGGUUAGUCGGGUCCUAAGUCGAGUCCGAAAGGGGUAGACGAUGGCAAAUUGGUUAAUAUUCCAAUACCAACAUUAGUGUGCGAUGGAAGGACGCUUAGGGCUAAGGGGGCUAGCGGAUGGAAGUGCUAGUCUAAGGUCGUAGGAGGUUAUACAGGAAAAUCCGUAUAACAAUACUCCGAGAACUGAAAGGCUUUUUGAAGUCUUCGGAUGGAUAGAAGAACCCCUGAUGCCGUCGAGCCAAGAAAAGUUUCUAAGUUUAGCUAAUGUUGCCCGUACCGUAAACCGACACAGGUGGGUGGGAUGAGUAUUCUAAGGCGCGUGGAAGAACUCUCUUUAAGGAACUCUGCAAAAUAGCACCGUAUCUUCGGUAUAAGGUGUGGUUAGCUUUGUAUUAGGAUUUACUCCGAAAGCGAAGAAACUUACAACAAAGAGUCCCUCCCGACUGUUUACCAAAAACACAGCACUCUGCUAACUCGUAAGAGGAUGUAUAGGGUGUGACGCCUGCCCGGUGCUCGAAGGUUAAUUGAUGGGGUUAGCAUUAGCGAAGCUCUUGAUCGAAGCCCGAGUAAACGGCGGCCGUAACUAUAACGGUCCUAAGGUAGCGAAAUUCCUUGUCGGUUAAAUACCGACCUGCAUGAAUGGCGUAACGAGAUGGGAGCUGUCUCAAAGAGGGAUCCAGUGAAAUUGUAGU
This 2043-nucleotide ribosomal RNA is filed under the name Campylobacter jejuni. RNAcentral describes it as "partial 23S ribosomal RNA". It matches the Rfam family "Bacterial large subunit ribosomal RNA", at positions 1 to 2048 of the family's 2925-position model. The record is from RNAcentral. Lineage: Bacteria; Pseudomonadati; Campylobacterota; Epsilonproteobacteria; Campylobacterales; Campylobacteraceae.